This 1366-nucleotide long non-coding RNA is filed under the name Callithrix jacchus (white-tufted-ear marmoset). Its description in RNAcentral is "lncRNA (ENSCJAG00000076477.1)". Lineage: Eukaryota; Metazoa; Chordata; Mammalia; Primates; Cebidae. The record is from RNAcentral.
CCCCUUCCCCUUCUCCCCUCCUCCUGCCCCCCUCCCCCCUUCCCUCCUCCCCGGCGUUCCGCCUCAGGCGGGCGCACUUCUCCCGCAGCCAUCCGCACUUACCCGGCCAGGACCUGGGGCUCCGUUAGCGGCGAUGGGAGCCGAGCCUAGAGGCGGAGAGCGGCGGAGAGCUGGGCCACCGCACACGGCCCGCGCCCGGGCCCGCCCCUUCCCUCCCGGCAGGGGGAGUGUCCGCGCGCCUCCCCCCGGCCCCGCGCCCAUGUGCGGUGCUCCGCGCCAGCUCUCGGGGCCUGGCAGGCUGGCCGGAACCCUGCACGCGGGCGGGCAGCCUCUUUGUUAGCAUGUUUGUUGCCUUUCUGCAUGCGUUUCAGAGCACGCAGAGCGAAUUAAGUGCAGUUAGGGGCACUGUGCGGCUGCUGGGGGAAACCAUCUGCGGGGAGCGGCGGAAGGGAUGGACUUGGGGCACUCUGAAGGGCCGCUCCAGCUCCACAGCUUCCCGAGGGAUCCGAGGAGGCCUCAGUGGAAAGCAGCGCAGUUCGGGUUCAGUCUCUGCCUAGUCCUGUUUCCCUCACUCUCUCAAGAACUCACCGAAGAAGGGAGAAGUUUGAGAAUCCGUCUAUGAAUAGGGAAACGGGGCUUUGGCUUGGACUAGAAAAGGUAUGAGAAAGUUGAGAUAUGAGUUGGAAGUAUCCCGUUUUGAUUUUUGUUCUGUGUUCAUAGGGGGAACAAGGUUUAUUUGUCAGAUUGGGUGCUCCAGAGAAGGAACCGAGAGUGCGCUGUGAUGAUGCACAGGGCAACUCCUGCUUGUACAAACUCCCAUCUUUGUAGUUUCCCUUGAGCUCUGAGCACUGGCUGCGUCACCAACAGGUGGAUGGAGCUGCUGUGUCUGGGCCUCAUUUCCUGCAUCUGAAAACUGGGAGAGUAGUUCCUUUUUUGGAAAAAUAGGAGGGGCCAGGGAAAUCCCAAAUUUGGAGACUGGUGCCCCUCAGCCAGGCCUGUAGUUCAUCUGCUGUCCCUGCUGGGUGCCAGCAGCUUCUGCAUUCGGUCCACACUCUGGCGUCAUUUGCCUGCCUUUAUAUCUGAUAGAGAGAUCUGUCAUGGGAUGCAAGAGUGAGGGAAGUUCUAGAGACUCCUUUAUAAAUGUAAGAAUAAUAAUACUUAGGCAUCCUUGCUUUUAUCUAAAAUGGCCUAUAUCUCUUGCUACUUGGAGGUUCAAGAUAGAUCUUUGAGACCCCUGCAUGUCAGCACAGGGCCUGAUAGCCUCUCCAGGCAGCAACAGUAUCCCUAGAAGUGGAGUCACAGGAAAUACCAUGGUAACUGUGGCUUCGUUUUGAGGAUGGUUACACAAGGGCGUGCGCGCAUGCGU